This 902-nucleotide ribosomal RNA is filed under the name uncultured bacterium. RNAcentral describes it as "bacterial SSU rRNA". It matches the Rfam family "Bacterial small subunit ribosomal RNA", at positions 33 to 917 of the family's 1533-position model. The record is from RNAcentral.
ACGCUGGCGGCGUGCCUAAUACAUGCAAGUAGAACGCUGAAGCUUGGUGCUUGCACCGAGCGGAUGAGUUGCGAACGGGUGAGUAACGCGUAGGUAACCUGCCUCUUAGCGGGGGAUAACUAUUGGAAACGAUAGCUAAUACCGCAUAAAAGUCGAUAUCGCAUGAUAUUGAUUUGAAAGGUGCAAAUGCAUCACUAAGAGAUGGACCUGCGUUGUAUUAGCUAGUUGGUGAGGUAACGGCUCACCAAGGCGACGAUACAUAGCCGACCUGAGAGGGUGAUCGGCCACACUGGGACUGAGACACGGCCCAGACUCCUACGGGAGGCAGCAGUAGGGAAUCUUCGGCAAUGGGGGCAACCCUGACCGAGCAACGCCGCGUGAGUGAAGAAGGUUUUCGGAUCGUAAAGCUCUGUUGUAAGAGAAGAACGAGUGUGAGAGUGGAAAGUUCACGCUGUGACGGUAUCUUACCAGAAAGGGACGGCUAACUACGUGCCAGCAGCCGCGGUAAUACGUAGGUCCCGAGCGUUAUCCGGAUUUAUUGGGCGUAAAGCGAGCGCAGGCGGUUAGAUAAGUCUGAAGUUAAAGGCUGUGGCUUAACCAUAGUACGCUUUGGAAACUGUUUAACUUGAGUGCAGAAGGGGAGAGUGGAAUUCCAUGUGUAGCGGUGAAAUGCGUAGAUAUAUGGAGGAACACCGGUGGCGAAAGCGGCUCUCUGGUCUGUAACUGACGCUGAGGCUCGAAAGCGUGGGGAGCAAACAGGAUUAGAUACCCUGGUAGUCCACGCCGUAAACGAUGAGUGCUAGGUGUUGGGUCCUUUCCGGGACUCAGUGCCGCAGCUAACGCAUUAAGCACUCCGCCUGGGGAGUACGACCGCAAGGUUGAAACUCAAAGGAAUUGACGGG